ACUAUUGUCACGGGUUACCGCGGCUGCUGGCACGGAGUUAGCCGGUGCUUCUUCUGUGAGUGAUGUCCUUCCUGCCGGUUAUUGACCCGCAGGCCUUCUUCCUCACUGAAAGUGCUUUACAACCCGAAGGCCUUCUUCACACACGCGGCAUGGCUGGAUCAGGGUUGCCCCCAUUGUCCAAUAUUCCCCACUGCUGCCUCCCGUAGGAGUCUGGGCCGUGUCUCAGUCCCAGUGUGGCUGAUCAUCCUCUCAGACCAGCUACGGAUCGUCGCCUUGGUGAGCCGUUACCUCACCAACCAGCUAAUCCGACAUAGGCUCAUCCGAUAGCGCGAGGCCCGAAGGUCCCCCGNUUUCCCCCGUAGGGCGUAUGCGGUAUUAGCCU
Molecule: ribosomal RNA, 382 nt
Filed under: uncultured bacterium
Lineage: Bacteria
Description: partial 16S ribosomal RNA
Source: RNAcentral